UACGGAGGGUGCAAGCGUUGUUCGGAAUUAUUGGGCGUAAAGGGCGUGUAGGCGGUUUGGUAAGUCAGAUGUGAAAGCCCUGGGCUUAACCCAGGAAGUGCAUUUGAAACUACCAGACUUGAGUAUGGGAGAGGAGAGUGGAAUUCCCAGUGUAGAGGUGAAAUUCGUAGAUAUUGGGAGGAACAUCCGUGGCGAAGGCGACUCUCUGGACCAAUACUGACGCUGAGACGCGAAAGCGUGGGGAGCAAACAGG
This 253-nucleotide ribosomal RNA is filed under the name uncultured bacterium. RNAcentral describes it as "partial 16S ribosomal RNA". It matches the Rfam family "Bacterial small subunit ribosomal RNA", at positions 524 to 776 of the family's 1533-position model. The record is from RNAcentral.